RNAcentral lists this unclassified non-coding RNA (258 nucleotides) under uncultured fungus. Its description in RNAcentral is "partial contains 5.8S ribosomal RNA, internal transcribed spacer 2, and large subunit ribosomal RNA". The stretch from base 1 to 52 matches the Rfam family "5.8S ribosomal RNA", at positions 103 to 154 of the family's 154-position model. The record is from RNAcentral. Lineage: Eukaryota; Fungi.
AACGCACAUUGCGCCCCUUGGUAUUCCGAGGGGCAUGCCUGUUCGAGCGUCAUUUCACCAAUCAAGCCACGCUUGGUAUUGGGCGCCGGGCCCGUCCCCUCGUGGGCGGGCCCGCCCGAAAUGCAUCGGCGAGGACACCGACCCCCGGCGUGUUAGGAAUCUCACAGUUCGAACGUCAGGAGCACCGGUCGCCCUCCGCCGUCAAACCUCUUCUCAAAGGUUGACCUCGGAUCAGGUAGGGAUACCCGCUGAACUUAA